CCUAAGGUAGCGAAAUUCCUUGUCAGGUAAGUUCUGACCCGCACGAAUGGCGUAACGACUUGAGAGCUGUCUCAACAACAUACCCGGCGAAAUUGAAGUACUGGUAAAGAUGCCAGUUACCCGUGAUAAGACGGAAAGACCCCAUGGAGCUUUACUGUAACUUGAUAUUGAAUUUUUGUAUUACAUGUACAGGAUAGGUGGGAGACAGAGAACUAAUGCCGCCAGGUGUUAGGGAGUCGAUGUUGGGAUACCACUCUUGUAAUAUGAAGGUUCUAACCUGCACCCGUGAAUCCGGGUGGGGGACACUGUCAGGUGGACAGUUUGACUGGGGCGGUCGCCUCCUAAAAGGUAACGGAGGCGUUCAAAGGUUGGUUCAGCACGGACGGAAAUCGUGCAACGAGUGCAAACGCAUAAACCAGCCUAACUGCGAGACCGACAAGUCGAGCAGUAACGAAAGUUGGAGUUAGUGAUCCGGCGGUAUGAGAGUGGAAUUGCCGUCGCUCAACGGAUAAAAGCUACCCUGGGGAUAACAGGCUGAUCUCCCCCAAGAGUCCACAUCGACGGGGAGGUUUGGCACCUCGAUGUCGGCUCAUCGCAUCCUGGGGCUGUAGUAGGUCCCAAGGGUUGGGCUGUUCGCCCAUUAAAGCGGUACGCGAGCUGGGUUCAGAACGUCGCGAGACAGUUCGGUCCCUAUCUAUCACGGGCGUAGGAAAUUUGAGGAGAGCUGACCUUAGUACGAGAGGACCGGGUUGGACGUACCGCUGGUGCACCUGUUGUUCUGCCAAGGGCAUAGCAGGGUAGCUAAGUACGGACGGGAUAAACGCUGAAGGCAUCUAAGCGUGAAGCCCCCUUCGAGAUAAGAUUUCCCAUAGCGUAGGCUAGUAAGGACCCAUGAAGACUACAUGGUUGAUAGGCCGGAGGUGGAAGUGCAGUAAUGUAUGCAGCUGACCGGUACUAAUAGUCCGAGGGCUUGACCAA
RNAcentral lists this ribosomal RNA (978 nucleotides) under human gut metagenome. Its description in RNAcentral is "bacterial LSU rRNA". It matches the Rfam family "Bacterial large subunit ribosomal RNA", at positions 1950 to 2925 of the family's 2925-position model. The record is from RNAcentral.